CACCUACGGGGGGCAGCAGUGAGGACUCUUGGUCCCUGUCCUCGAGUCUGCACCAGCCAAGUAGCGUGAAGGAUGACUGCCCUAUGGGUUGUAAACUUCUUUUAUAUGGGAAUAAAAUGUUCCACGUGUGGGAUUUUGUAUGUACUUUAUGAAUAAGGAUCGGCUAACUCCGUGCCAGCAGCCGCGGUAAUACGGAGGAUCAGAGCGUUAUCCGGAUUUAUUGGGUUUAAAGGGAGCGUAGAUGGGUUGUUAAGUCAGUUGUGAAAGUUUGCGGCUCAACCGUAAAAUUGCAGUUGAAACUGGCA
Molecule: ribosomal RNA, 305 nt
Filed under: uncultured bacterium
Lineage: Bacteria
Description: bacterial SSU rRNA
Rfam family: Bacterial small subunit ribosomal RNA
Source: RNAcentral